ACGGAAGGCAGCAGUGGGGAAUAUUGCACAAUGGGGGAAACCCUGAUGCAGCGACGCCGCGUGAGUGAAGAAGUAUCUCGGUAUGUAAAGCUCUAUCAGCAGGGAAGAAAAUGACGGUACCUGACUAAGAAGCCCCGGCUAACUACGUGCCAGCAGCCGCGGUAAUACGUAGGGGGCAAGCGUUAUCCGGAUUUACUGGGUGUAAAGGGGGCGUAGACGGUUCUGCAAGUCUGAUGUGAAAGGCAGGGGCUCAACUCCUGGACUGCAUUGGAAACUGUAGAACUAGAGUGCCGGAGAGGUAAGCGGAAUUCCUAGUGUAGCGGUGAAAUGCGUAGAUAUUAGGAGGAACACCAGUGGCGAAGGCGGCUUACUGGACGGUAACUGACGUUGAGGCUCGAAAGCGUGGGGAGCAAACAGGAUUAGAUACCCUGGUA
RNAcentral lists this ribosomal RNA (434 nucleotides) under uncultured Blautia sp. Its description in RNAcentral is "partial 16S ribosomal RNA". It matches the Rfam family "Bacterial small subunit ribosomal RNA", at positions 341 to 792 of the family's 1533-position model. Lineage: Bacteria; Bacillati; Bacillota; Clostridia; Lachnospirales; Lachnospiraceae. The record is from RNAcentral.